UGCAACUCGACUCCAUGAAGCUGGAUUCGCUAGUAAUCGCGCAUCAGCCAUGGCGCGGUGAAUACGUUCCCGGGCCCUUGUACACACCGCCCGUCAAGCCAUGGAAGCCGGGAGUGCCUGAAGUGCGUGACCGCAAGGAGCGCCCUAAGGCAAUACCGGUGACUGGGGCUAAGUCGUAACAAGGUAUC
Molecule: ribosomal RNA, 188 nt
Filed under: uncultured bacterium
Lineage: Bacteria
Description: partial 16S ribosomal RNA
Rfam family: Bacterial small subunit ribosomal RNA
Source: RNAcentral